CAGUCGCCGCGGUAAUACGUAGGUGGCGAGCGUUGUCCGGAAUUAUUGGGCGUAAAGGGCUCGCAGGCGGUUUCUUAAGUCUGAUGUGAAAGCCCCCGGCUCAACCGGGGAGGUCAUUGGAAACUGGGAAACUUGAGUGCAGAAGAGGAGAGUGGAAUUCCACGUGUAGCGGUGAAAUGCGUAGAGAUGUGGAGGAACACCAGUGGCGAAGGCGACUCUCUGGUCUGUAACUGACGCUGAGGAGCGAAAGCGUGGGGAGCGAACAGGAUUAGAUACCCCCGUAGUCCCUGUCUCUUAUACA
RNAcentral lists this ribosomal RNA (301 nucleotides) under uncultured bacterium. Its description in RNAcentral is "partial 16S ribosomal RNA". It matches the Rfam family "Bacterial small subunit ribosomal RNA", at positions 509 to 808 of the family's 1533-position model. The record is from RNAcentral.